AACGAACGCUGGCGGCAGGCCUAACACAUGCAAGUCGAGCGAACCCUUCGGGGUUAGCGGCGGACGGGUGAGUAACGCGUGGGAACGUGCCCUUUGCUACGGAAUAGCCCCGGGAAACUGGGAGUAAUACCGUAUGUGCCCUUGGGGAAAGAUUUAUCGGCAAAGGAUCGGCCCGCGUUGGAUUAGGUAGUUGGUGGGGUAAUGGCCUACCAAGCCGACGAUCCAUAGCUGGUUUGAGAGGAUGAUCAGCCACACUGGGACUGAGACACGGCCCAGACUCCUACGGGAGGCAGCAGUGGGGAAUCUUAGACAAUGGGCGCAAGCCUGAUCUAGCCAUGCCGCGUGAUCGAUGAAGGCCUUAGGGUUGUAAAGAUCUUUCAGUGGGGAAGAUAAUGACUGUACCCACAGAAGAAGCCCGGCUAACUCCGUGCCAGCAGCCGCGGUAAAG
This 448-nucleotide ribosomal RNA is filed under the name uncultured bacterium. Its description in RNAcentral is "bacterial SSU rRNA". It matches the Rfam family "Bacterial small subunit ribosomal RNA", at positions 29 to 525 of the family's 1533-position model. The record is from RNAcentral.